CCUACGGGAGGCAGCAGUGNGGAAUAUUGGUCAAUGGGCGCAACUGANCCAGCCAUGCCGCGUGCAGGAAGACGGUCCUAUGGAUUGUAAACUGCUUUUAUACAGGAAGAAACAACUCUACGUGUAGAGUCUUGACGGUACUGUAGGAAUAAGGAUCGGCUAACUCCGUGCCAGCAGCCGCGGUAAU
Molecule: ribosomal RNA, 187 nt
Filed under: uncultured bacterium
Lineage: Bacteria
Description: partial 16S ribosomal RNA
Rfam family: Bacterial small subunit ribosomal RNA
Source: RNAcentral